AAGAGCUGAUUUCAUUAUUCCAAGGAGGGGAAUAUGAUUGGAAGGCCUUUCAAAAAAGCUUUGGUUAUGAUGAGAAAGGCUACACAGCAAACCAUCGCGUGGUCAAGAUGUUUUGGUCAGUGUUCCAUGGUGAUCUCACUGAGGAUGACAAAAGAGACUUUCUGAGAGUCAUGACGGGUGCUGACCAUGUCCCGAUUGGUGGAAUCCAGGAGGUUAGACCUAGGAUGUGGCCCAUGGGAGGAGACAAAGAUUGUAAGGGGAAACCCCCAAAGGACAUGUGCCCUGAAGUGAAUACAUGUCAUGGUUUCAUCGUGCUUCAUCUCCCGAUGUACAGGAAAAGAGAGCAUCUCAAAGAACGACUCAUGAAGCUAAUAGAGAUGAAAGGGCACGGAUUUCAUAAAAUACCAGACUAAACCUUUGACUAGCUGUCGUAGAGAGUUCAACAGUCCCGUAUCCGGACAUUGACAUAUUAAAAAUCUAGUAUCUAAUAUCGAUGUCAAAGAAAAAUAAUUAAAAACCGAUUAAUGAAUUGUAAUGUUGGGUCAAUGAAUAAAGAAAAAGUCAUUAAAUUGUAUGCAAUCGUAUCUGUCAUACGCGGGGGCACUGAAUUCGGUGACACCGACAAACUGACCUUUUUUGGGGCCAUUGAAAAUAAUGUAAUUGCAAAUUUUUAUUGAUCUGUAGUUGUUUUGGUAUUGGUCUUGUUUGUGUGACUGAGCUGCGACAACAUACGAUAUAAAGAAAGAAUGGAAUAUAAAAAAUUUAAAAAAGCAUGUUAUCUUCUGCAUCGUACAUAAAGAACAUGAUCCACCUCUAUAACAGUUGUAUAUAGUUUUGUACAUAAUUCGACUUUCUAUUAUUUAGUACAUUCAGUUGAUUUUUGUUUUCAAAAUGGUGUAUAUUGUGUAGUUUUAUGCAUUUUGAAUCAUGACAUUCAAAUAACUAUCCAUUCAAGUAGUCUGAGAUUGAGGAUAUGGUAGUUAUUUAAAUAUUAAGUUUUGUUGUUAGUUUCCUCAAUCAUUGCUGAGUGCGCUUGGCUAUCUCAAUAUAAACAUGUAACGAAGGCAACAAAAAGGCGACUAUGAGGAUGAUGAGGAUAAAAAAAGAUAAAGACAAAGUUAGACACGUUCUGGUUGCCCUAUUAUACAAGAUGCUCAUCUGUGGGAAUAGUUAUAUUUCUAGUACUUUGGCACAGCAGAACACACUGGCAUAAUACAUGUAUUGAAUACAAUCAGCUAGUUCAUGAAAUUGAGGUAAGCAACAAGCAGAUGUUAACCAGAAAACAAACAGACUAUAUUAUUGCAAGGAAAAGGCGCUAUAUCAAAUAUCUUUUGGAUUGGAUUUUCCCAGUAGAUCUGGUUAUUAGAUGGUAUAGCGAAGGAUUUGAUUAAAUUUGAUGUAAUAACAAAUUGCUCAGACGGUGUCAAACAUGUCUUGGCUAGUGAAUGGUUAUGCAAUAUGUAAAAUAUAACUAAUUUUGAUGAUUGCGAAUAAAAUCAUAGAUUUUAAGACAGAUUGUAUUGCAGCAAUACGUCGAUUUGCACAUGUAUAUUUAAGAUUGCCAGAUGUGCACUGAAAGCUUUAAUUUUUUCUCUGCGUCGUACAGAGUACUACACUAAACAAUUAUGAAAUGAUGGCGUACUGUUUAUUGUUGUAUAUUCUUGCAGUUAUGCAUUAAUGCAUCGUUAAACUAGUAAUCAAUAUGAAAAUAUCUUUAAAUAAUUAUUUAUUUAUCACCUUGAUUUUUCUCUACAAUGCGCUAUGGAGUGUUCUGUCAGUCUAUGAUUAUUAUUAUUGUAUAAAUAUAAUUAUGAUUGAAUGGAAAAAUCAACAGGAUUUUUCAUUUUGGGAUAAGAAAUCAUCAUUACUUUUUAUGUGGUUAUUGGGGAAAAUUAUUUUAAAAAUUGGAAUGCCUCAUGGUCAACUGAAUUUGAUUUGUGUAGAAGCUGGUAGGUUUUAAACAUACAGGUUUACUAAGUAUAAUUGUCCUGUCUUUGUUAACGUUUUCCAAGAACUUUUUUUUUAUUUGUAAUCAUGAUGAAUAUAAAUUUGAUUUAAUUGUGUUGGCCGAAAUAUUGGGAGAGGAAAACGUUCCGGAAAAUACUCUUGCGUUUUGGGGGAAUCCAGCCUUCUUUCUCGAGGCUGAAAAUGGAAAGUGUGAUUCUAGAUCUUUACAUCUUUUACCACGAGAAAUGAGAGUUUUCAUGAAAUUUUAUUUCUUCUCAAAUGGGAAUGUGAACAUUGUGUUCCCUUUCUCCUCGAUCCACAAGUUGAUAACAAACAAAAAAAGAUCUGCAAACUUUACAUUGCAGUUGAAAUGAUCAUUCUUAAAAUGAAGUGUGCAAUAUACCUAAUGGAGAUUGUAAACGAUUUUUCACUGUCAUAAAGAGGGA
Strongylocentrotus purpuratus (purple sea urchin) is the source of this 2393-nucleotide long non-coding RNA. RefSeq lists it as uncharacterized. The transcript is spliced from 3 exons. The record is from RefSeq and is a predicted model, not a curated record. NCBI's taxonomy places the organism in Eukaryota, Metazoa, Echinodermata, Echinoidea, Camarodonta, Strongylocentrotidae.